GACGAACGCUGGCGGCGUGCUUAACACAUGCAAGUCGAACGGAAAGGCCCUGCUUUUGUGGGGUGCUCGAGUGGCGAACGGGUGAGUAACACGUGAGUAACCUGCCCUUGACUUUGGGAUAACUUCAGGAAACUGGGGCUAAUACCGGAUAGGAGCUCCUGCUGCAUGGUGGGGGUUGGAAAGUUUCGGCGGUUGGGGAUGGACUCGCGGCUUAUCAGCUUGUUGGUGGGGUAGUGGCUUACCAAGGCUUUGACGGGUAGCCGGCCUGAGAGGGUGACCGGCCACAUUGGGACUGAGAUACGGCCCAGACUCCUACGGGAGGCAGCGGGGGGGAAUAUUGCACAAUGGGCGGAAGCCUGAUGCAGCAACGCCGCGUGCGGGAUGACGGCCUUCGGGUUGUAAACCGCUUUCGCCUGUGACGAAGCGUGGGUGACGGUAAUGGGUAAAGAAGCACCGGCUAACUACGUG
Molecule: ribosomal RNA, 468 nt
Filed under: uncultured bacterium
Lineage: Bacteria
Description: partial 16S ribosomal RNA
Rfam family: Bacterial small subunit ribosomal RNA
Source: RNAcentral